GUCGACGAUACUUUCCAGCUUGCUGGGGAGGAAAGUGGCGCACGGGUGCGUAACGCGUAUGCAACCUACCUUAAUCAGGGGGAUAGCCCGAAGAAAUUCGGAUUAACACCGCAUAAAAACACAGGAUAGCAUUAUCCAAUGUUCAAAUAUUUAUAGGAUUAAGAUGGGCAUGCGUGUCAUUAGCUAGUUGGCGGGGUAACGGCCCACCAAGGCGACGAUGACUAGGGGAUCUGAGAGGAUGACCCCCCACACUGGUACUGAGACACGGACCAGACUCCUACGGGAGGCAGCAGUAAGGAAUAUUGGUCAAUGGAGGCAACUCUGAACCAGCCAUGCCGCGUGCAGGAAGACAGCCCUCUGGGUCGUAAACUGCUUUUAUUCGGGAAUAAACCUUAUUACGUGUAAUAAGCUGAAUGUACCGAAGGAAUAAGGAUCGGCUAACUCCGUGCCAGCAGCCGCGGUAAUACGGAGGAUCCAAGCGUUAUCCGGAUUUAUUGGGUUUAAAGGGUGCGUAGGCGGCUUAUUAAGUCAGGGGUGAAAGACGGUGGCUCAACCAUCGCAGUGCCCUUGAUACUGAUGAGCUUGAAUACACUAGAGGUAGGCGGAAUGUGACAAGUAGCGGUGAAAUGCAUAGAUAUGUCACAGAACACCGAUUGCGAAGGCAGCUUACUAUGGUGUGAUUGACGCUGAGGCACGAAAGCGUGGGGAUCAAACAGGAUUAGAUACCCUGGUAGUCCACGCCCUAAACGAUGAAUACUCGCUGUUAGCGAUAUACAGUUAGCGGCUAAGCGAAAGCGUUAAGUAUUCCACCUGGGGAGUACGCCCGCAGGGUGAAACUCAAAUGAAAUUGA
RNAcentral lists this ribosomal RNA (851 nucleotides) under Pedobacter sp. PA8. RNAcentral describes it as "bacterial SSU rRNA". It matches the Rfam family "Bacterial small subunit ribosomal RNA", at positions 61 to 913 of the family's 1533-position model. The record is from RNAcentral. Lineage: Bacteria; Pseudomonadati; Bacteroidota; Sphingobacteriia; Sphingobacteriales; Sphingobacteriaceae.